Molecule: ribosomal RNA, 497 nt
Filed under: uncultured bacterium
Lineage: Bacteria
Description: partial 16S ribosomal RNA
Rfam family: Bacterial small subunit ribosomal RNA
Source: RNAcentral
GAUGAACGCUGGCGGCGUGCCUAAUACAUGCAAGUCGAGCGAACAGACGAGGAGCUUGCUCCUCUGACGUUAGCGGCGGACGGGUGAGUAACACGUGGGUAACCUACCUAUAAGACUGGGAUAACUUCGGGAAACCGGAGCUAAUACCGGAUAAUAUAUUGACCCGCAUGGUUCAAUAGUGAAAGACGGUUUUGCUGUCACUUAUAGAUGGAUCCGCGCCGCAUUAGCUAGUUGGUAAGGUAACGGCUUACCAAGGCAACGAUGCGUAGCCGACCUGAGAGGGUGAUCGGCCACACUGGAACUGAGACACGGUCCAGACUACUACGGGAGGCAGCAGUAGGGAAUCUUCCGCAAUGGGCGAAAGCUUGACGGAGCAACGCCGCGUGAGUGAUGAAGGUCUUCGGAUCGUAAAACUCUGUUAUUAGGGAAGAACAAAUGUGUAAGUAACUAUGCACGUCUUGACGGUACCUAAUCAGAAAGCCACGGCUAACUACGUG